GUGUGCAUAGCCAAUGUAUAGCUUUGGAAUUGAAAAUUCGAUCCGAGAAAAGAAAAACGCGUGUGCUCGUGAAUCCGUAAGACUUUAAUUAUUUACGCAAAGUGUGUGUCGUUCGUUGUGUUUAUGUAAUAAAAGAAAAACAAAGAAAAAUAUGUGUCGUAUCUCGUAUCAGGGACAAAAUUACAAGAGACUGUCGGGAUAAAUUUCACGGAGCACGCAAUUCUCUUUCUCCCGUGUGGAAUCGAAGAUUUCCAAUGGCAUUUAAUACGAGAGCGCAUAUCGUACAUAUAUAGAAUAUAUCGGAUGAGUAACAUAACAUUCGUUCGAUUUUAUUAUUCUUCAAGUGGUUUGACGCGUAAAAGUAACAAGUUUUUUAUCGUCAAUCCAACAUUUCAUACAAAAUACGUACACUUUAUCGAGUCUUACGCACGAAAUACUUCGAGUACUCGUAAUCGUUUGAUUUUAACCUCGCACAUGUCUCCUGUUUCGGCAAACUGACGCGCGUACAUAUUUACCCCCUCGAUAUUCUGUAAAAUUCUACUUGACGAAUGAUUCAUUCGUGCUAAAAUAAUUAAGUACACGGUAAAAAUUCGUGAAGAAUACUUCGAGUUUGUGCUGCUUAAAAAAAAAAAAAAAACAAAAAAACAAAAGAGAAUAACUCGCACUGAUCUCACUAUAGAUAUACACAUAUGUGUCUGUAUCUAUCUACAUAUAUAUAACGGAUCGUGGAUUAUAUCCAAAACAGCCAAGUGGCAAGUGGAAUUCUAUAGAUGCAUCGUGCAUCGGAAAAAUCACGCAAUCGUCGCACCACCUGCUGUGAAAGAUCACAUCGGACAAUUGACUGAGCUAGAAAAUUCUAAAUUUAAAAUAUUACAAAACAUAAUAAACGGAUCCGAAUUUUUUGGAUUUAACAUUAAAUUCGAAAAUAAAUUGACGUAUUCUUUGCCCAACACUGCCAAAAGAUUUGGCUGAGAUUCUAUUAAUUUUUUCAGAAAAAAAAGAGCAUUUGAAAUUUGAAAAAGAAGAAAUGCUUCACGCCGAGGCAUUAAUGAGGAAAAAAAAGCACAACUUUACCUGGAUUAAAAUGAACGAGAGGGCUGAAACUUCUGGAAGAGCGGUAAUAAGUAGAGAAGAGUGAGCAAUAAGAUAAAAGAGCUUGGCCCACCCGGAGUCAGGUGGAAAAAGAAAACCAAACGGCGAGCUGGUCUGGAAUAGCUCAUAAUGCGUUUGCCCUCGUGGUCUACCAACACGAUAGACUGUAAUAACAUUAGACGUUCGAAACCUCGCUCCAGAGUCAAAAGAAUACAGAGGACUAAGGAGAAAAUAGACGGAGAGUCGGAUGAGGACACAAAGUCGAAGAAGGAAUACUGUAGACAUUCGUGAGAGGAAAACUAGAAAAAGGAGAAACGACCGAGAUGAAUUCUGGCAGGCAAAAGCUGUUGUUGUUGUUGUUGUUGAAUAUAUAUACAAAUAAUACUCCGCACCAAUAGUCUUUGAAAAGCAAAAAAAGAAAAACGAGCCUCCGACGGACGUUUUUUUAUUAAAAAAGUUCCUCACAGCUUCUUUGUGCUUUGUCUGUCGCUCGACUUAGCCUAGAAGAGAGAGAAGAAAAGAUUCGAAGAGUAGUGUUGGCUCAGCGACGCAUAGGGCAUAAGCAGCGCAAAGAUCGACCGUCCGCUCUCUUCUCACAGAAUAUCUAGUCCGAAGCACGCCAUUAAUUGAGAAAUAUUCUAAAAUCCUUUUCAUCAAGGUGAUCCGGAGUUUCUUAACGGCAGAGAUAUCAAUCGUCAAAAUUGGCAGUCGUCAACUCGUCUAACAACAACGGCUCACGAAAAUAAUCUUGCAAAAAAGGCUGUUGGUCAUUUUCUCAGGCCGAUACAUCAAGACUGCUUUUUACUAAUAUUAUUUCGUAUUAUAAUAAAAAAUUAAAAGAGAAGAAUCCAGGGAAGAUAAGGAAAGCAGCGUGCAAAGGACCAAUGAAGAGAGUUCGAACGUUUGAAUCGGGUUCAACGGGCGGAGUGGUAUGCGGAGAGAGAAGAAUGAGAGAAAUGGAAACGGAAUUGGAGGAAAAAAGAAAUGAGUACUGGUACACAGGUUUGAGACAAGAAUCGAAGGGUGUGUGUUUCUUUGGAUAAAAGUGAAAAAGGGCGAUCGAGAUGCCCCUUUCAUUACCAAACGCGUUUGCCCCCAUGAGCACUUACACCACUCAGAAUUUCAUAUCGACCGGCGACAACAAUCAUUUGCCACCUCUGAAGGGUGGGAGCCUUCUGUUGAAACAAGUAGCGGGGGAAUCGCCGCCGAGUCAUCCGACCCGAUCGAGCCAUCCGCCUCCGGUGCUCUCCACUCAUUUGCCCAGUUUGAGUUCGAGCGUUAACAACAGCCUGCAAAACUUGACGAGCAAUUCCGAGGGUCCGAACCUGCAGCAUCCUCAACAGCAACAAAGUCUGAACUCGAGUCACGUCGUAUCGCAGCAACACGCGAAUCACAAUUCUCACUCUCAGGCAAACAGUCAGACGAACAGUCCACUCGUGAAAAAUGGACGGCUCGAUGCUCAACAGCAUUCCAACAGCAGCAGCGCCGGUGGCGGUGGCGGUAGCAGCGGAACUGCCAACGGAAGUGGAGCAGCCGGAAGCGGCGGAGCGGCCGGAAACAGCGGCAAAGUUAUUCCAAAGAUGGCCGUUACUCCGGAAAUCGUGAUGAAACUUUACAUGAACAAGUUGACGCAGUACGAGAGACACGAGAUAUACUCUUAUCCACAGAUUUACUUUAUAGGGGCCAACGCUAAAAAAAGGCCGGCCAGCUUCGGUCUACCGAACAAUCACAGUUACGAUAACGAGCAUGGCUCUUACACUCACACACCUCACGACCACGUCGCUUACAGAUACGAAGUAUUGAAAGUAAUCGGCAAAGGCUCCUUCGGCCAAGUCGUCAAGGCUUACGAUCACAAAAAUCACGAACACGUUGCCCUCAAAAUGGUUAGAAACGAGAGACGCUUCUCGCGCCAAGCACAAGAGGAAAUAAGAAUUCUUCGUAAUUUGCGGGAACAGGACAAGGACAAUACCAUGAAUAUUAUACACAUGUUCGACUCGUUUACCUUUCGCAAUCAUAUGUGCAUCACCUUCGAGCUUCUCAGUAUAAAUCUCUAUGAACUCAUCAAGAAGAACAAGUUUCAGGGAUUUAGUCUACAGCUCGUUAGAAAGUUUGCUCAUUCCUUGUUGCUCUGCUUGGAUGCCUUGUACAAGAACAAAAUUAUCCACUGCGACAUGAAACCGGAAAACGUUCUUCUCAAGCAACAGGGUCGAAGUGGCAUCAAGGUGAUAGAUUUUGGUUCGAGCUGUUACGAGUCUCAGCGGGUGUACACGUACAUCCAGAGUAGAUUUUACCGUGCUCCGGAGGUGAUAUUGGGUGCGCGUUUCGGGAUGCCAAUCGACAUGUGGAGUCUCGGUUGCAUAUUGGCGGAGUUAUUGACAGGAUUUCCAUUACUGCCGGGAGAGGACGAGGCGGAUCAAUUGUCUUGCAUAAUCGAGUUGCUCGGUAUGCCGCCAAGGAAGUUGAUCGAGAGUGCGGACAGAUCGCGACAUUUCUUCAGUUCGAAGGGUCAUCCGAGGUAUUGCAAAGCAACGACAAUCGCGAGUGGUUCGACGGUGUUGUUGGGGGGAGUUUCGAGGCGAGGAAAAUUCCGAGGGCCGCCGGGUUCGAAAGUGCUCAAAGACGCGUUGAAAGGUUGCGAGGAUCCGUUGUUUUUAGAUUUCAUAAAGAGAUGUUUGCAGUGGGAUCCGGAGCGUCGUAUGACGCCGAGCAAGGCGUUGCGUCACGCUUGGCUCAGAAGAAGACUGCCGAGACCGCCGGAUCACCCGGACAAGCCGGACAGCUCCUCAUCGGUCGUUUGCAACGCCGGUUGCGUCAUGAGCUCUUCAGUGCACGUACCGGCGGGGAGCGCAGUUUCCUCGGCGACCAGUCGAAUAAGCUCGACCAAAGGGAGCAUUGGAACCGCGACAGCGAUCCCCUCGAGCACCGUUGGCAAUGGCGCAGUCUCCAGUUCAACGAAUGCCUCCGCUUGCCGCUUUCCUACCACGCUCAAUUCGCAAACGCGGCACUCCCUACUGCUGCAGCAGCAGCAGCAGCAGCAGCAGCAACAGACCGCCCCAACGGUGCCUCAUCAAAACUCUGCUUCGACUACGUCCACGAAUCAACCAUCCUCUCUGCCUUCUUCUAUAAAUCAUCAACAAUCCGCCACUAGUUCAGCGGGCAGCGCCACCUUGCAACACAAUAAUUCACUCCAUUCGCACAACGGAGGAUCUCAUGGCUCUUUGCACGACUCCCACGGUCGCAGCUCUCACGGCUCCUCCGGGCUUUCCAGCCGUUUCAAAAAACAGGAGAGCUCCGGCGACUCGUGGCGGUAAGUUUUGACCUGCCCGUGUCUAUGCGUACGCGAGCGUGUGUGUGGGCGAGCUCUUACGCUUGAAAAUUGGGGCCGCUCAAUUUAUUCGAAAAAUGCCAUUAAGCAAGAGCAGAUGAAACAUUUCUGACAGAAAUUCAUUGCGAUCUUUCGUCGGUUCACUCAAUCAUGGACAUUUCGUGAUUUUAUUUCUUUUAUUGCUUCCUCAAUUUACGAAAACAAUUCCUUUUGCCCUUGCUUAAGUUUUCUUAUGUAAAAACAUCAAUUUUCUGUCAACAAACGAAACGUCAAACGAAAGUGGAAAUUUAAGCCUUUUUUGUUGACAGACAAAUUGUGUUGAGUUGUGUUGACAAAUUGUGACCCCGUUGAGUCACAAUUUUGAGUGAGAAAAAAAGUCGUUUCUGAGCUCGAAUGCACCUGACGAAAUAAAUUUUUUACCGCCCACGCUGGUGAGUCGGAAGAGAGUUUUUUCGACAGGUCGAUCAAACUCGAUAAAUAAUUAUUUGUUUUCUAUCUCCCGCAUGAUAAAAAAAAGUCGUACAAAGUGCGUUAAGAUUUGUCGAAAAAAUUCGCAGGCGAUACAGCAAAAUAAUUAUUUUGUUCUUUACGAGGAAAAACCAAGUUUUCCUUACGAAACAUAGUCGAUAUUGUUUUAUUUGAAAAAAAAAAAAAAAGGCAUUUGACGAAUGAAAGAGCGAACCAAUCCUCGGCUCGUUACUUCUCGUACGAGUUUACAAGCCGAUAUUCGUAAACAUUGAAACGAGUAAAGAGCGACGAUGAGGCGAAGCGAAGAAAGCUGGACAUUCUGAGGAAAAUGUAGCCAAAGCUAAUGUCCAUCGACGAAUGAAAAUUCGAUGAAAAGCAAACCACACGCGGGCACCCGCAUUCACGAAACUUAAUCAAUAUAGUUGAAGAAAAAAACAACAACUUCAGUAGGUAAUAGUAAUAUAGCUCGUGAUACGGAACAGGAUGUCUUGUGAUAUGAAACUUGGGCGUAUACUAUAGGGGUUUAUAUUAUAUAAUAGAAUAUAUGAAAAUAAUUAUUUUAUCGCGCUAAUGAAAAAAAUGUAAAUGCUAACAAAUGAAAAAAAAAAAGAAAUAAGAGAAAGAGGGGAAAAAACAAAAAGUGAAAAACAUUUAGCAUUUAAGAUCUGUCCGUUGAGUCGUAGCUAAUUGCUAUGUUAUGCCGCAUUAUAUAUUAACGAGGAGAACUUAAAUGAAGGACGCUAAAGGCGCGCAACGAGGAGUGGAAUUGUUGUAAGAGCGUGAUAAAUUUUAUCGUCUCCCCAGCUUUUAUUUACUCGAGACGAAACUUACUCUUCGCAUUCAUCCACACACACGCGCGCGCGCUCCCAAAAGUCCUUUCGCAAAUUUGAAGUAAUUUCUUAAACUCCCCCAGGCGACGAAUCGGAUCGAUAUGAUUUUGCCAUUUUAUUAUUAUUGCAUCGAUUCUCUCGAGACGCGAAUUUUUUUGUAUGUUUUUUGUAUGUCCAUUUCGUUCCAAUUCUUAGGCAUUUUAAUUAUUUUUACCAAUUUUUAUGGGCAGAAAAUUUAAAUGACUUCGUAACGUGCACUUUUUGCAUGAAUACGUGCUUUAGUUUGUUGAAUUGGAAUCUUUCAAAAAGUUAUGUUUGCAUUUCCUUCUAAUCAGGGCCAAAAAUCGUUCUAAGCUUUUGCAUCCUCCUCCGAUUAGAUCACUGCCUGAGGCAUGGAAAAAGUAACGCCUCGAUCGACACAUCACCUAUUUUAGAGGUUGCAUUUUUUUAGAAUUAUUCUUGACAAAAACUAGAAUAAAAUUAUUGAUUGAAUUUUUACCAGUUGGCUAAAAGAAUAAAUCGAAGGUUUUCGCACGGUUUUCAUGUGAAAGACCAUCGAUGUUUAAAGCUUUUAAUCAUUUCUACAAUUUACGUGAUUUCAGUUUCUUUCACGUAAACGUGAAUAUUCAAUUAUGGGAAAUUAAAAUUUUUGGCGUUUGCGUGUCCAACCUCUUCACUGGGAGGCCAAACUGUCAAAAAUAUUGCUGAUUGAGGUACUGAUAAAACAAGAAAAAAAAUAUGGACGAUAAAUCACGAUUUUUCGUGGAAAUCCUUUCAUUCCUCCUCGACAGGAAUUCAAAAUUUUUUAACCGUUCAGAGUGUGCCAUGAAAAGGCUGCGCAGGGAGAUUCUAAACUUUGUUUUUCUGUUAAUUUUUCAUUGUUUCCUCAUUGACUGUUGAUAUUUUAUUCCAAAUUUUUAACAUUUGAUUCAAAUAUCUUUUCCAGUUUCUAGAUCAUAAAAACGUUUGUAAUUGGACGUUGAACCAUCGCGGUAUUCAUUGCUGAGCAAUGUAAUUCUGAUGACAAAAGUGCUUUUGGAUGUUCAAGGUCAUCCAGUCCUGUAAAUUUUGAAAAAUGGACUUUAGUCUUCAAAAUUACAGCUUUAGAAUUGUAAAAGUUUUUUGCACCUUGAAACAGCAUUUUCGGGCCAUAACAGACCACCAGAAAUGCCCUCCUGACCCUCGAACCGUCGACCAGUGAAGGGGCUCAUCAAUGAACUCGUAAUUUUUACUUCUUUCCCGGUGUUGCAUGCACUUUUUACUAUUUAUCUUAUAAAUGUUAAUACUCACUUUUUAUUUCCAACAAAAGUAAAAAAAUAUUUUUCAUCACAGUCGCAGGCCACCCCCGCGUGUCGCGUUUGUGUGUGAGUGUGUACAUAUUACAGAAAUUCCUCAUUCAUAAUCACUGCCUACUUAUUUCAUAAAUUCUCUCGGUAAAUAGAUGACAGAUAAAAAGCGUAAGACGAGACAAGCGAAUUUGAGAUUUUGUUGUUCCUCGUGAUCGAGGAUGAGUAAUUUGUAUUAGUGAUCGAGAUUAAUAAUUGUGUGUCGCGAAAAAUUAUUUUUGCGUUUUGUGUCUCGAGAGUUGACGAACUUGCGUUCUGUGCUCGCAUCGGAAAGUCUCCGAUCGAGGAGAAAUUGUGUGUAUAAUAAUUUUAAUGGAAAUGCUCGCUUGGCUACAGAGGAAGCGAGAGAGCUAAUCAUUUUUGAAUUGAUAAUUUUUAAACGAUUGCACGAUACAUAAGGAGACCUUUUAUAUGAAUUUGUACUGCUGCGCCGAGCAGCACGCGCACGGCCCCAUCAGCAUUAAUUAUUCUACAUUCGAAAGUUUUUAAAAAUGUGUGUGAAAAGAGAGCACGAUUAUUGGCAAAUGCGUAUGGUGAUUCGUUAUUUCGUGUAUUCUGUAAAUGACUAGACGCGAGACACACGAGAUCGAUGGCUUUUCGAGUUUAAAACACUAUAUAUAUUAUCCUUUAAAAUUCAGUUGGUUAGUCGGUAACAAGGUUAUCGGCAAAGUCCCGCACGAACGCCCUCUAUAACGAACGGCAACGUCACAGUUCCGUGAGAAAUGGCCGCAGGUUUGGAAACGUUUCUCCUCCGGAAAGACACAACCGAUUGGGAUGCGAAGAGCUCGGCCCGCGUUAAGGAAGAAAUUUUCGAAAACAAUUGGAAACGCUAUCGCUCCGGUAAAGAAAUCUACUGGAAAUCGAAAAUUCCAACUUCAAGAAUCAAGAGACGCGGUAGCGGCUCGACGCCAAGUAUUAAAAGGAAAAACUGCAGCGCAAAAGAAAAGCCAGUUGAAAUAUACACCGUGCAUCUAUUCCCAUAAUUAUUAUAUUUCGAAAAACAAUUUCGAAGAAAUUGAUAAAUUGCGAAAAUCAAUUUUAAUCGUUUCUUUGAUCAUCAAAAGAGCAAAACAGCUCAGUUUUAUGAAUCACAAGUGAUCUUGCUUAAAUUUUCCAAAAAAUUGCUACCACUCUACAAAAAUCUGGAAUCACGGUAGCGAGACUCGAGACAAGUACAUUUUUCAGAGCGAGUUCGCAUUCGGAGACUUUACAGGAGUCGCCGCGUUCAAUAGUUUCACCAUCAACAAUUCGAAACGGAAUCGAAGAUUGUAUCGCAGUUAUGGAGGUUAAAUUCAGUGCAACUUAACUCAGUUACUUCGUUCUUUAGCGCCCUCGAUAAUUGAAUCAACAACUGGGUCAAAAAUAGAGAAAAAAAAACAAAUAAUAAAUCCGUCAAUAAUUGAAGUUUUAAUGUUUCCACAAUUUAUAAUAUUUGAUGAUUUUUGUGUUACGUAAAAUACGUAAGUAACGUUUUAUUAAUUCAAACGGAUUUUUGAAAGAACGUUUCGUGUACUUAUUGUCGAAGAAUAUUUGAAAAACCUGAUUCUUGUACGUGGAUAUCGUAACGUUUCAAGAGAACGACGCUGAAGUUUCCAACGUUCGAGUUCAACGAAAUGAACGAAAAAAAACAUUUGUAAUUCACCAAUUUUUUAUUUCACGAGUCGUUGGUGCAGCUUGAAAAACUGCGAAUCGCAAAUUUGGCAGGGAACAAAAUAGGAGAAUUACUGGAAUUAUUGGAGAGUUUUUUUCGAUCAUUUCGUUGGACUCCAACGUUGGAAACUUAAGCAUCAUUCAAGAGAAAUAAUGUACGUGAAAUGGGAAAAUAUGCCGAAAACCUUUUUACAGUCUAUUCCGAUAAAAACAAGAUAGGCACACGCGUUUGAGAAUGUGUGUUAUUAAUAUUUCGAGCCAUGCAAGACUGAGAUCCGCCAAGGUCAACGAAAAAAGUCAUUUUGGUGUGUUCUUUCACUUCCUUAUGCGCGCGCGCGCUCUCCGAUACUUCGAGUUUACGAAAAUUCGAUUGAAUCGAAAGAGGACAGAGCGACGCCUUGAUAUACCGUGAUUCGUUUAGUUUUAAAGACAAUAGUGAAUAUAAGUUUCUUUCUUUUUCUUCCCCCGAUGUGUGUGUGUGGGUGUGUGUAUUUUCGAUAAUUCAGUGAUUUCGUCGGCUAGCUUCGUGUGGAGUAGUGCCACGAUUUUUGUGUAAUUCACGAGUGAUAAACCGAUGUAUAGAGAAGAAGUUGAAUAAAAAGAAAGAACGAAGAUCGAGCGAUGUAUGUAAAGCCCCGUGAAAGUGUUUCGUUCGUCGACAAUUAUAUACACACGUAAUAAUAAUAAUAAUACAUAUAUGAAUAUAUUUAUGUAAGCGACGCCGCGAUGGAAAGUUUGAUCUCUUAUGCUAGUGCAUUAAAGAUACAUACGAGCAGUAUAGUAGGACGAAAAUGAAGAAGAUAAACAAAAUGUAAUAACGAUCAUAAGAAUAGGGUAAGCACGAUUCUCAUUUGGAGACAAAACGCGAAUAACGAAAUUCCUUCAGAGGCGUUUUGCGCGUAUAAAAUGCUGUGUAUUACUACGGGAGAGAAAUAAAAAAUAGUUAUUGGUACGAAUGCUGAAUACCAUGUCAAUACACACAUUUGUAAUACAGAUCGAAAGAAGAUGAAAACGAAAAAGCACGAAAAUUGUAAUGUUUGUUGCUAUCUAUACUCAGUCACUGGGAACGCGUGUGCGAAUCUGAUUUUUUUUUGUCAAGUGCUCCUAUACAUACAUAUUGUUUAAGGAAUGAAUAAAUGCUGCUUAUUCACA
This 9863-nucleotide unclassified non-coding RNA is filed under the name Venturia canescens. RNAcentral describes it as "dual specificity tyrosine-phosphorylation-regulated kinase 2-like, transcript variant X3". The record is from RNAcentral. Lineage: Eukaryota; Metazoa; Arthropoda; Insecta; Hymenoptera; Ichneumonidae.